RNAcentral lists this ribosomal RNA (2900 nucleotides) under Escherichia coli MP020980.2. RNAcentral describes it as "bacterial LSU rRNA". It matches the Rfam family "Bacterial large subunit ribosomal RNA". The record is from RNAcentral. Lineage: Bacteria; Pseudomonadati; Pseudomonadota; Gammaproteobacteria; Enterobacterales; Enterobacteriaceae.
UAAGCGACUAAGCGUACACGGUGGAUGCCCUGGCAGUCAGAGGCGAUGAAGGACGUGCUAAUCUGCGAUAAGCGUCGGUAAGGUGAUAUGAACCGUUAUAACCGGCGAUUUCCGAAUGGGGAAACCCAGUGUGUUUCGUCACACUAUCAUUAACUGAAUCCAUAGGUUAAUGAGGCGAACCGGGGGAACUGAAACAUCUAAGUACCCCGAGGAAAAGAAAUCAACCGAGAUUCCCCCAGUAGCGGCGAGCGAACGGGGAGCAGCCCAGAGCCUGAAUCAGUGUGUGUGUUAGUGGAAGCGUCUGGAAAGGCGCGCGAUACAGGGUGACAGCCCCGUACACAAAAAUGCACAUGCUGUGAGCUCGAUGAGUAGGGCGGGACACGUGGUAUCCUGUCUGAAUAUGGGGGGACCAUCCUCCAAGGCUAAAUACUCCUGACUGACCGAUAGUGAACCAGUACCGUGAGGGAAAGGCGAAAAGAACCCCGGCGAGGGGAGUGAAAAAGAACCUGAAACCGUGUACGUACAAGCAGUGGGAGCACGCUUAGGCGUGUGACUGCGUACCUUUUGUAUAAUGGGUCAGCGACUUAUAUUCUGUAGCAAGGUUAACCGAAUAGGGGAGCCGAAGGGAAACCGAGUCUUAACUGGGCGUUAAGUUGCAGGGUAUAGACCCGAAACCCGGUGAUCUAGCCAUGGGCAGGUUGAAGGUUGGGUAACACUAACUGGAGGACCGAACCGACUAAUGUUGAAAAAUUAGCGGAUGACUUGUGGCUGGGGGUGAAAGGCCAAUCAGACCGGGAGAUAGCUGGUUCUCCCCGAAAGCUAUUUAGGUAGCGCCUCGUGAAUUCAUCUCCGGGGGUAGAGCACUGUUUCGGCAAGGGGGUCAUCCCGACUUACCAACCCGAUGCAAACUGCGAAUACCGGAGAAUGUUAUCACGGGAGACACACGGCGGGUGCUAACGUCCGUCGUGAAGAGGGAAACAACCCAGACCGCCAGCUAAGGUCCCAAAGUCAUGGUUAAGUGGGAAACGAUGUGGGAAGGCCCAGACAGCCAGGAUGUUGGCUUAGAAGCAGCCAUCAUUUAAAGAAAGCGUAAUAGCUCACUGGUCGAGUCGGCCUGCGCGGAAGAUGUAACGGGGCUAAACCAUGCACCGAAGCUGCGGCAGCGACGCUGAUGCGUUGUUGGGUAGGGGAGCGUUCUGUAAGCCUGUGAAGGUGUGCUGUGAGGCAUGCUGGAGGUAUCAGAAGUGCGAAUGCUGACAUAAGUAACGAUAAAGCGGGUGAAAAGCCCGCUCGCCGAAAGACCAAGGGUUCCUGUCCAACGUUAAUCGGGGCAGGGUGAGUCGACCCCUAAGGCGAGGCCGAAAGGCGUAGUCGAUGGGAAACAGGUUAAUAUUCCUGUACUUGGUGUUACUGCGAAGGGGGGACGGAGAAGGCUAUGUUGGCCGGGCGACGGUUGUCCCGGUUUAAGCGUGUAGGCUGGUUUUCCAGGCAAAUCCGGAAAAUCAAGGCUGAGGCGUGAUGACGAGGCACUACGGUGCUGAAGCAACAAAUGCCCUGCUUCCAGGAAAAGCCUCUAAGCAUCAGGUAACAUCAAAUCGUACCCCAAACCGACACAGGUGGUCAGGUAGAGAAUACCAAGGCGCUUGAGAGAACUCGGGUGAAGGAACUAGGCAAAAUGGUGCCGUAACUUCGGGAGAAGGCACGCUGAUAUGUAGGUGAAGUCCCUCGCGGAUGGAGCUGAAAUCAGUCGAAGAUACCAGCUGGCUGCAACUGUUUAUUAAAAACACAGCACUGUGCAAACACGAAAGUGGACGUAUACGGUGUGACGCCUGCCCGGUGCCGGAAGGUUAAUUGAUGGGGUUAGCGCAAGCGAAGCUCUUGAUCGAAGCCCCGGUAAACGGCGGCCGUAACUAUAACGGUCCUAAGGUAGCGAAAUUCCUUGUCGGGUAAGUUCCGACCUGCACGAAUGGCGUAAUGAUGGCCAGGCUGUCUCCACCCGAGACUCAGUGAAAUUGAACUCGCUGUGAAGAUGCAGUGUACCCGCGGCAAGACGGAAAGACCCCGUGAACCUUUACUAUAGCUUGACACUGAACAUUGAGCCUUGAUGUGUAGGAUAGGUGGGAGGCUUUGAAGUGUGGACGCCAGUCUGCAUGGAGCCGACCUUGAAAUACCACCCUUUAAUGUUUGAUGUUCUAACGUUGACCCGUGAUCCGGGUUGCGGACAGUGUCUGGUGGGUAGUUUGACUGGGGCGGUCUCCUCCUAAAGAGUAACGGAGGAGCACGAAGGUUGGCUAAUCCUGGUCGGACAUCAGGAGGUUAGUGCAAUGGCAUAAGCCAGCUUGACUGCGAGCGUGACGGCGCGAGCAGGUGCGAAAGCAGGUCAUAGUGAUCCGGUGGUUCUGAAUGGAAGGGCCAUCGCUCAACGGAUAAAAGGUACUCCGGGGAUAACAGGCUGAUACCGCCCAAGAGUUCAUAUCGACGGCGGUGUUUGGCACCUCGAUGUCGGCUCAUCACAUCCUGGGGCUGAAGUAGGUCCCAAGGGUAUGGCUGUUCGCCAUUUAAAGUGGUACGCGAGCUGGGUUUAGAACGUCGUGAGACAGUUCGGUCCCUAUCUGCCGUGGGCGCUGGAGAACUGAGGGGGGCUGCUCCUAGUACGAGAGGACCGGAGUGGACGCAUCACUGGUGUUCGGGUUGUCAUGCCAAUGGCACUGCCCGGUAGCUAAAUGCGGAAGAGAUAAGUGCUGAAAGCAUCUAAGCACGAAACUUGCCCCGAGAUGAGUUCUCCCUGACUCCUUGAGAGUCCUGAAGGAACGUUGAAGACGACGACGUUGAUAGGCCGGGUGUGUAAGCGCAGCGAUGCGUUGAGCUAACCGGUACUAAUGAACCGUGAGGCUUAACCU